CAGGUAGGCAUGGAAACGGGGAGUCGGAGGGAAGAAGGCCAGACAGAUGGCCAUCAGCUCCCAGCCACGCUCCAGGCUGUCAUAUCGGAAGUUCUCUGUGGUUUGACGACACAGCUGAAUGUAGAGCUCAUCACGUAGACCCUGGUUACUCCACCCUCGCACCACCACCUGACAGUCAAGUGAAUUGGAGAGUGUGGCUUUCAUUCUUUUGGGAUACAAGCUCCUCGUACAGAGCAUAAAAAGGUUUGAGGAACAAAGCAUCUGCCUUUGGUUGCCAGAAAAACAAGACUAUGGCAACAACAGACCUUUACUUCAUCAGCUCCCAAUCAACAGGCUGUUCCAUUCAGACCGUCCAACAGCCGUAUUGGGGAGGAGGGUCGGCGAACAAGAGCUUCACUGUUGUGUGUGACUCCAGUCUGCUGUCCAGAAAACUCUUGGUCCAGAGAGGAGGAGGUGCUUCCCUCUUGACUGACCCCACUAUUACGUCCUGGGCUGUUAUCAGCAGAUACUCUCCCUCCACCUGCAGAAUGGGGGUUGGUGGCAUCUGUGUGCUGUUUUAAAGUCUGAAGCUUGGCUAGUGGGAUGAUGUCACAUCCCUGAGGCCUGUGCCACACUGUCC
This is a non-coding RNA of Nothobranchius furzeri (turquoise killifish), 619 nucleotides long. Lineage: Eukaryota; Metazoa; Chordata; Actinopteri; Cyprinodontiformes; Nothobranchiidae. The record is from RefSeq and is a predicted model, not a curated record.